AAAACAUUCGGAUCGUCGGUCUACCGAGCAAUUUCAACUGCUCGGUUGAAGACCUUUUCUUUGUAAC
Molecule: microRNA precursor, 67 nt
Filed under: Bombyx mori (domestic silkworm)
Lineage: Eukaryota; Metazoa; Arthropoda; Insecta; Lepidoptera; Bombycidae
Description: mir-2774 microRNA precursor family
Rfam family: mir-2774 microRNA precursor family
Source: Rfam by way of RNAcentral